UAUCCGGAUUUACUGGGUGUAAAGGGAGCCCAGGUGGUGCGGCAAGCCUGAUGUGAAAGCCCGGGGCUCAACCCCGGUACUGCAUUGGAAACUGUCGUACUAGAGUGUCGGAGGGGUAAGUGGAAUUCCUAGUGUAGCGGUGAAAUGCGUAGAUAUUAGGAGGAACACCAGUGGCGAAGGCGGCUUACUGGACGAUAACUGACGCUGAGGCUCGAAAGCGUGGGGA
This 226-nucleotide ribosomal RNA is filed under the name uncultured bacterium. Its description in RNAcentral is "partial 16S ribosomal RNA". It matches the Rfam family "Bacterial small subunit ribosomal RNA", at positions 542 to 767 of the family's 1533-position model. The record is from RNAcentral.